This 109-nucleotide ribosomal RNA is filed under the name Bacteroidota bacterium. Lineage: Bacteria; Pseudomonadati; Bacteroidota. The record is from RNAcentral.
UAUGGUGGUUAUCGCAGUGUGGAUCACCUCUUCCCAUUCCGAACAGAGAAGUUAAGCACAUUAGCGCCGAUGGUACUGGUUAUUCCGGGAGAGUAGGUCGCCGCCAUUU